Molecule: long non-coding RNA, 9605 nt
Filed under: Populus trichocarpa (black cottonwood)
Lineage: Eukaryota; Viridiplantae; Streptophyta; Magnoliopsida; Malpighiales; Salicaceae
Description: long non-coding RNA (PTRI_LNC004429)
Source: RNAcentral
AAGUUAAUAAUUCUUGACCGUGAUCCAAUCAAAAUAUUAAAUUCUUCUUUAAUCUUUACAAUUUUAUCUUAAAUAAAAAUAAAACAUCCAUAAAACAAAUACAAACACACCUAUACACUUUCACUAUAUUUUCUUUCUCUUUUCCUUUCCUUUUCUUUUUUGUUUUUUACAUACACAAUUUUUACAUGUAAAACAAAUAACAAAAAUUCAAAAUAAAUCAAAUACAAUAAUAUCUAAAUAUACACAUCAUCUGAAAGUUACAACAAAAAACACAAAGAAAUCCUCGGGAACAGUGCUGCACAGCCUUGGUGUCGUCUGAACAGUAGUGGCGCGUUGCUCCACGCGCCUCCGCCACUGGAGGCGCGUGGGUUCACGCGCCGCCGCCGAUGAAGACCGAAAACCAGUGGAUCGGGAACGUCUUCUUCUUCCCUGUCUUCCUCCGCCGGCGGUGAGGGUCACCGUCACCUGCAACAACAAGAAAAAACGCACAAAAAAGCAGUCGGUUUUAAUUCUUUUGUUUUGCAGAUCUGCUUCUCUUCGCAUCUCGAUUUUCUUUUCGUUUCCCCUUGUUUCUCUGUUUCAAGCGGCCGGCGGUGUGACCAUAGGGCUGCUGGCCUUUGGGUUUUGUCCGGUCUGCAGCUGUCGGUGGCCGGUGAACCUGUGGACGGCGCUGUGCAGGAGGAACUGGAGGAAGACGGCGGACAGAUCCAAGUCUGUGAGUGCCGCUGUGUUCGGGCUGGUCUGGAGGUUGUGAACGGGACUCCUGCUGCUGCUGCUGUGUGGCUUGAUGGAGGGAAAUCGGAGAGCUUGAGAGAGAGGGGCUCUCGGGUGAAGAAGGAGAUGGGAUGUGAUGUGGUUGUGGCUGUUGUGUUUUGUGUGAUGUGAGGCUGUGAGCGGCGGCUGGCUGAGAGAGGGAAGAAUGGUGGUUGGCUGGAACAGAGGGCGCGGCCGAGAGGGAGAGAGGCAGAGGAAGAUGGUGAGCGGCGGGGGAAAAAGGAGAAGGAAAAUGAAAGCCACCGGGGGCGCGCUGUCGAUUCUGGUUUCUUUUGGCCAAGGGGCUGUGAGCGGCUGCUGGGUGAGGGGGAGAUGGCCGGCUGUCAAGAGGGAGACGAGUGCAGGCGGCUGAAGAGGAAAAAUCUGCAAAACCAAAGGAGGGAGGGGGGCGGCGGCUCUCCUUGAAAAAAAAAGAUGGGUCUAGGUUUAGGUUUUUUGUAUUUUUUCUGAUGUUGUCAAAAUUGUCCCCCCCUCUUGAAAAAAAUGUAUAGCAUGGUAUUUAUAGGAAAAGUUUUGCUAGGUUUUCAAACUAGUCCCUCAACUUUUCCUUUCCUUCUCUUUUCCUCUUUUUUUUUGUAAAUUUUGAUUUUUCUUAUUUUUUGUAUUUUUGAAAGCGAGCAAAUAUCAACAUCGACUCAAUGCGGAAAAUCAAUGAUUUUAAAAAUGACGCGUGAAAAGUUGAACGCGUUCCAAAUGUCUUUGAAAAAUUAAAUUCUUUUGAGACGAUGCUAAAAAAUGCUAAAAACGAUACAAAUGUAUAAAAAAUGUAUUUUUUGGAUUUUCAAUGUUUUUUCGCUAGUUUUGGAUUUUUCAAUUUUUAUCAAAACAUGGGUCAAAAAUUGGGUAGCAACAGAUGCCCCCUCUUUACAAUGCUUACGAAGCAAAACUCCUCAAUGUUUCGCAUAGUAAGCUUUGUAAAGAAAAACUCUAAAUGUUCCUUUUUUUUUUGUGUGAGAUCCCAUCGGGCGAUCUCCUUGAACCAAAACCAAAAUCUGCGUGGUUGGGCUAACCUGAGAUCUCGUCCGACGAUCCCCUUUAACCAGAACCAAUAUCAUGUGUGUGGUUGGGCUAACCUGAGAUCCCGUCCGGCGAUCCCCUUUAACCAGAACCAACAUGAGAUCCCAUCUGGCGACCUCAUUAAACCAAAACUAAAAAAAUGUGUGUAACUCAGUCAACCUGAAAUCCCAUCUGGCGAUUCCCUUUAACCAAAGCUACAUGAGAUCCCAUCUGGCGACCUCACUAAAUGGAACUAAAAAAUGUGGUAGCUCGGUCAACCUGAAAUCCCAUCUGGCGAUUCCCUUUAACCAAAGCUACAUGAGAUUCCAUCUGGCGACCUCAUUAAACCAAAACAAAGAAUGUGGAACCAAUGGUCUCAUUAUAAUGGGUGACGAACCCAAGAAAAAUGAUGGUCUCAUUGUAUGGGUGACGAACCCAAGAAAAAUGAUGGUCUCAUUGUAUGGGUGACGAACCCCAGAAAAAUGAUGGUCUCAUUGUAUGGGUGACGAACCCCAGAAAAAAUGAUGGUCUCAUUGUAUGGGUGACGAACCCAAGAAAAAUGAUGGUCUCAUUGUAUGGGUGACGAACCCAAGAAAAAAGAUGGUCUCAUUGUAUGGGUGACUAACCCAAGAAAAAUGAUGGUCUCAUUGUAUGGGUGACCUACCCAAGAAAAAUAAUGUGGAAAACGGUCUCAUUAUGAUGGGUGACCUACCCAAAUGGAAAGAAUGUGAAGUGCGGUCUCAUUAUAAUGGGUGACCUACCCAGGUGGAAGAUAGAAAAAAUGUGAAGUGGUCGCGUUAUAAUGGGUGACCUACCCAGGUGGAAGAUAGAAAAAAUGUGAAGUGGUCUCAUUGUUAUGGGUGACCUACCCAGAUGGAAGAUGAGAAAAAUAUGAAGCGGUCUCAUUAUUAUGGGUGACCUACCCAUGUGGAGGAUAGAAAAAAUGUGAAAUGGUCUCAUUGUUAUGGGUGACCUACCCAACUGAAAGAUGUGAUGUGACAAGUGUGAAAAAUGGGACUUACCUGGCGAAGUCCUGAAGGGAUGGUAGAAGAAGGGCCGGAAAACUUGGUGCUUCUUGAUAAUUCUUGAUCGCAGGGUUUGAAAACUCGAUGCUUCCUGAUUGCAAGGUUGAUCUUUUCAUUUCUUUGAGAUUUUCCUAACAGUAAGGUUUAUCUCAUCUUCUUCCCGUUUCAAGGUCACAACCAUGAUUCUCUGUUAUUAUCAACUCAAUGAUUCUUUCUUUGUCCACAAUCUUGCUGGACUUCAUUGAGGAUCUUUCUGUAACAAAUCAUAAGUAUGUGCAAUGCUUUGAGGUUAGAUGACAUGCAUGCAUCCUUACCUGAUGUGAAAUAUAGCCCCCCCCUUUGAUGAUCCAUCGUCAUAGGGUGCCUUUGUUUGCAUUCCAAAGCUUUAUUGGUUCUUUCGAUGCAUUGGCUCAUUCAUGUGCUAGCCAUCCCCUCGGGUGUAAGUGCAGUGCACAUCCUGGGCUGUCUUCGACGGUUACUGCUCUUGCUGUUUAUCAAGCUUGACUCUGCCCCCAAGUGUGGUGUUGCUUGAUUCAUCGUGAAGGAUUUUCUCUCCUGGAUUCUUCUAAGAAUUAUCCUCUGAUUGGUUGUGUGCAUCAUGCCAACACCCAUCAUGAUUGUCCAUCAGUCAUAAACUUGCCUCAAGCUGAAACAAUACUCUUCAAGUAAUGUUAUCACCAGUCUUCAUGGAAAUUAUCCAAUCGUCCAGACAUGCAUCUCAUAGCUUGCAGUGAAAGACUCAUCGUUGUAUGCUCAAUGUUCUUUCUCAUGGAUUUCUCUCAGCUUGUCAAAUCAGAUAGUGAAAAGAAAUGCAGUGGCAUCAUCAAUGAUGUUCAUUUUAUCGCCCAUAUUCAUGCGAUGAAGUGCGCCUUCGAGCUUCAAAAAAGAUGGUCCCACAGUCAGUCUUGGUGAGUGCAUCCUUCCAAUAUUCACAACCAUGCGAUAACAUCGUUCAAAAGUCAUAGCCAUGUUGGAGAUGAUAAUAUGACAUUAUCCUUCAAGUACAACAUUGUUCCGCAAUCAAUCUUGGUGGUGUGCAUCUUUUCAUAUUCGUUCGAAUGCAACUGUAUGCCCACAUCGGUCGAUAGCCAUGUUUCAAAAGAUUUCCUUCAAGUGUAUCUUUGCUUUCCCGAUUGUUGACGGGGUUCACUAGAUCAUGGACUAUCUUUGAACAACAUUGCCCCCAAUAUGAUCUGAAUGUGCUCGUUCAUUGAUUAUCUUUCUUUGAACACCAUUGUCUUCAGUACACUGAUUCAUCAUUUAAUCAUCUUUCAUUGCCCCCAGCUGAUCUGAAUACUAUUUGUUUUCCUACCCAUGAUCCACUGUGUUGCCUCUAGGUGGUCAACUUUUCAAGGAGUGUCGAGAAAUGUUGAUGUCAUUCUUGUCAAGGAUUUUGCAAAUUCGGUCGAUGUUCUUGUUGUUUAACAAUCUUUCUUGUUUUGGAAUCAACUCUCAUAUUUCAAAGAUCAUGUCAAUUCAAGUCUAAUUGUUGAAAUGAAAUCAGAGAGAUAUCUAUUUUGGAAAAGAUCUUUUAAAUAUCAUGCUUUUUGGUCAAAGACCCAACACACAUCAUUCAAUGUAAUCCUUUGAUUGUCUUGUAUUUUGAAAACAGAAAUGGACCCGUUGUAAGUUUAAAAUGACUUUUUUCAUGGUUCUUUAUGUCAGUUUUAAUCUUUGAUCUUGGGUAUAUCUUUUCACGGUCUACAAUGAGGUGACCUUCUGUGAGUUUCAAGGAAAACAAAAGGCUCAAGUCAAAACUUGAGGAUUCAUCAAGAAAUAUUGUUUUCUUUUUUAGCACCAAUUUUAUCAGCAUGCAUAAUAACCAAUAGCUUAAUUUAUGAAGCCACGACUCUUAUGAAAAAGUUCUUCAAGUUUUGAGAGCGCCAUUUAUCGGUUCAAAUUGCUUACUUGAUCAAAAAGGGCUUUUGCAGGCUAUGGUUCAUGGCUAUGAAAGAAAGGAAAUUCAGGCUCAAAAGGUGUUUGAGGGUUUCAAAGACCUAGGAUCAACAUCAACUAUUCAUUAACUCUCUUUCUCUUGUUGUCAUAGUAGAGAAAGUGAUAUAUAACCUUGUUAAUCACAAAUAUCAUAAUUCUCUUAACAUAGGUCAUAAUGCAAAUCCAACUUUCUCUGAUGAAUAAUGAAUCUAAAAUGAAGACACUAAAGGCUUUAUCCUAGACACACCAAAAGACAUGAAACUUGAUUUUUUUGGUGUUGACUUUUGGCAUUUGUUGUGUCUUUCUUCCAUUGAAACCUUGUUUUGCCCCUCUUAGAAUUGAUAGGCAUUCUCCUUCAUUUCCACUUUUUUUUUUUUACAUAACCUUCCUCAAAGUUUUCUUGGAUGGCUCUCAAUCUAUGGCUUUUCUUGUUCUCCCUUUCUCAAUCAUUGGGCUUUUAUUCUAAGCCUUUCUUUUAUCAUUGAUUCUAUCAGUGUCUUCAUCCUUCCUAAUAACAUAUCUCUCAUUGCCCCCAGUGUGGGGUGUGAUCCUAGUCGGGGUUUUUUAUGAAAGGAAUAUUCUAUCCAGCUCAAAAUGGGACUCAAGGGAUAUAAUCUUUAGAAAGUGAAGGGAUAUCAAAGAUGGCAUUUUCUCAUUUCAAGCAAUGGUCGGUUAGAACCGAUAAAUUUUGACCUCGUCCAGUGUAAUGAUUUGGACUUGUAAGAAUCAUGAUUCACGAGUCCAUAACUAUUGAAUCCACUACAUGUCAUUAUGCAUACUGCUAAAACUAGCUAUAUGAUGUGUGGUUCAGUUUCAGGAGGUAUGAGUUCAAAAUUGUUUGGUCACCUCAUGUCAUUUUCAAGCAUCAAGUCAUUUCUGCAAUCAAAACACUUUUAAUGUUCAUGAUUAAACUUUGCAUGUUGGAGUUUGAUCAAACAUAUUUUGUCAAAAUACCCUUUGAAAGAAGCAUCUCUUGAUUUCAAAACAACAGGAAGACAAAGGAAAGACAUGUUUUGUUCAAGGAUGAGAUGUGACCCCAAAACAAAAUGCAAGAUGGCAAAAUCCAUAACAAAAAUGAUUGACAGUUUAACCCCUUCUUAGAUCAGCCUCUUUGGCAAUAUCUCUGUUUUGCCAAGCAAUUCCGAUCACUCGUCAUUCUGAGGAUGUUCUGGCGAUAAAAUGAUCGAUGACAAGCUCCUUCCCAGAUUCCUCUCGUCUUUUGCUCACCAACUUCCGGACUCGAUUCUUGCAAUUGUUCAAUUGAAAUGGCUGAGGACUCCACCAUGACAUCACAUCUCUUGUCUGGAUUAUACCACCUACAAAAUGGUGGUUGCAUGGGUUUUGUCGGAGUCAGGCAUUAAGUCUGGAAUCUGGCAGAUGCUAGUAAAUAAACCCACAUGGCAAAGGAAUGUCUAUCUUUGGCAAAGACAUUGGAGUAGUUGGUGCUUUGUGAGACUUGACUAAACCACAUAACUAUGGUUUCCCGUCUUCAGAGUCAUCUCCUGAUUCAUCUCUUCACAGUUCUGGAAUCCAUGGCAGAUCCUUCAAUCUUUCACUUCUUCAUAGCUCGCUCAAUUCUUUCGAUGAUCUUCACAACAUCAUGUCAUUCUUCCAAUGUUGUUGUGGUUUGUUGAGGGUUGUUGGAAAACUUCCACCAGCGAGGUAAUCUUGGCAGCGCCUACAAACUUGCAGCAUUGUCGCUGUCAAUGUGUGAAAUGAUGCAUUGUUCUUAUUGGAGGAGAAACACUGAAUAUGAAACUCCUUUGUCUCCUCUUCGAUCCCUCACUGACAGUGUAGCAAACAAACACCUGUAGAGGGAGCUCUGCUCUGUUGAAGUUUCAAUCUUCUUUCUAUUUUUCAGCCGAGGUUUGUCUCUUUUCUCUACUUUUGCAUUUUCAAGCUAACACUGAUGAGAGAAAAUUAUAGAUGAUCAGAAACUACUGCAUCCCUUCUUAGAUUCUCCACUUGCAGAGUUACAAACAGAUUUCUGUAGAGAGAGCUCUGCCACAUUGAAGUUUGAUGUGUGCUCAUGUUUUUCAGACCAGGUCUGGCUUUUCAACCCGCUACAGUGUCUUCGUACUGAAACUGAUGAGAGAUUUUUAUAGCAUAUGCAACUAAUAAAUCCCUUCUUGCAUUCCCAACUUGCAGAGCCAUAAACUGAUUUUUGUAGAGAGAGCUCUGCAACGUAGAAGUUCAGGGUCGAAUCAUGUUUUUUUUUCGGGUUUUUUUUUUCUCUUUUUUUUUUUAUCUUGUGCCGCUGAACUGGAAUUGAGCUAACAGUUGGGGUAAUGUCAAAGAAGGCUAACACAUCAUGCACAGAAGGCUAGCAGUUAUUUUGGUGCCAUUGAAGAUGUGGAGGUGAUGAACAAUUAACAGGGCAACUGACCAAGAACAAAAGUUGUCAUUAGCUGAUGACUUAAGGCAUUGCUGCAAUUAUUCAUGACUGAAAAGAGGAGGUGUAACUUCGAUGGGACAUGGACAAGCAGUGUUCCCACAGAAGACUGUGUAGACAUUCCCUUUUCCUUUGAUGCUCUACACUUGUUCAAGCAGAUCUGAUUCUAGCUACUUCACCUCUGAUGCUCUCAACUUCCUUUUGACAAUGAGCCUCUCUCCGACCACUUUCUUCGCUUCUAUCAUCUUUCUUCAUUCACGUGUAGCACAGCUUGUGUGGGGAAACCUAUCUUUCAACCCGGUAUAUGCAUGAUAAAUGUAUGAACAUGUAAUCUAUAUGAUGAACUCGCCCUUUGAGGGGUGACAUAUGGUCGUAACUCUUGUAUAAUGAAACAAGAAUCUUGAUUCUUGCCCAAACUUUACAAUGAAAAUUUUCUGAGUGACGGCCAUUGGGUCACCCACAAGUCUUGAGUUCAAGAUGCUUCAAGAAGAGUUUGCCCUUAUGCAAAACAAUGUAUACGGAGCACACAUCCUAAAGGCAGGUUCUAUUCAUUAUGUGAACAUGGGUAGGUUCUCUACCUGGUCUCAAAAGGGUCUCAUAUCUGCCUAGUGACGUUCUUCAUAAAGACAGUAUGGGGGCGUUGCAAGGAAUAGUUAAGGUACGUCUACCCACCAUUACCAAGCAGGCACUCAGAUAUGAGUUCGGUUUUUCACGCAUCUGAACCCUGACCAAUAGUCAUAGGGCAGAUCGUUAAUUCACCACCUAACUUAGAAGCUUGUGUGUGCUUUAAAAAAUAAAUACAGGUGAUGCAUGAAACAAUUCUAAAAAUACAUGGAUAAAACAAAAAUAAAACAAUACAAAAAUGCAAAAACUUAAACACAUCAAAUACACAAAGCUUAGUUCAAUAUUGUCAGAAACAGUACCUUCCCCAGUGGAGUCGCCAUUCUGUCGCACGUCACAAAAAUCCGCGCGGCAUCGGCUGGCGAUUUUUCAUUUGUUGUUUGCUUGCUUUGAUUUGUUGGUUGGAGUCGCCACCUAGUAAUUAAUUGCGGGCUACUAGGAAACCGGAUGUACUGGUCUUAUCAGAGAUUCGAGGGUAAGGGACUGGUUGUGGUUAGGGAAGGUAUUAGCACCCCUAACGCACCCUACCUGAGGUAAGCUGCUUCGUGACUUUGAUGUGUUAAAGAAGUUUUAAUAAUUGUCUUUUCAUCGGAUAUUAGAAAUACAACUUACGUAUAAGUUAAUAAUUCUUGACCGUGAUCCAAUCAAAAUAUUAAAUUCUUCUUUAAUCUUUACAAUUUUAUCUUAAAUAAAAAUAAAACAUCCAUAAAACAAAUACAAACACACCUAUACACUUUCACUAUAUUUUCUUUCUCUUUUCCUUUCCUUUUCUUUUUUGUUUUUUACAUACACAAUUUUUACAUGUAAAACAAAUAACAAAAAUUCAAAAUAAAUCAAAUACAAUAAUAUCUAAAUAUACACAUCAUCUGAAAGUUACAACAAAAAACACAAAGAAAUCCUCGGGAACAGUGCUGCACAGCCUUGGUGUCGUCUGAACAGUAGUGGCGCGUUGCUCCACGCGCCUCCGCCACUGGAGGCGCGUGGGUUCACGCGCCGCCGCCGAUGAAGACCGAAAACCAGUGGAUCGGGAACGUCUUCUUCUUCCCUGUCUUCCUCCGCCGGCGGUGAGGGUCACCGUCACCUGCAACAACAAGAAAAAACGCACAAAAAAGCAGUCGGUUUUAAUUCUUUUGUUUUGCAGAUCUGCUUCUCUUCGCAUCUCGAUUUUCUUUUCGUUUCCCCUUGUUUCUCUGUUUCAAGCGGCCGGCGGUGUGACCAUAGGGCUGCUGGCCUUUGGGUUUUGUCCGGUCUGCAGCUGUCGGUGGCCGGUGAACCUGUGGACGGCGCUGUGCAGGAGGAACUGGAGGAAGACGGCGGACAGAUCCAAGUCUGUGAGUGCCGCUGUGUUCGGGCUGGUCUGGAGGUUGUGAACGGGACUCCUGCUGCUGCUGCUGUGUGGCUUGAUGGAGGGAAAUCGGAGAGCUUGAGAGAGAGGGGCUCUCGGGUGAAGAAGGAGAUGGGAUGUGAUGUGGUUGUGGCUGUUGUGUUUUGUGUGAUGUGAGGCUGUGAGCGGCGGCUGGCUGAGAGAGGGAAGAAUGGUGGUUGGCUGGAACAGAGGGCGCGGCCGAGAGGGAGAGAGGCAGAGGAAGAUGGUGAGCGGCGGGGGAAAAAGGAGAAGGAAAAUGAAAGCCACCGGGGGCGCGCUGUCGAUUCUGGUUUCUUUUGGCCAAGGGGCUGUGAGCGGCUGCUGGGUGAGGGGGAGAUGGCCGGCUGUCAAGAGGGAGACGAGUGCAGGCGGCUGAAGAGGAAAAAUCUGCAAAACCAAAGGAGGGAGGGGGGCGGCGGCUCUCCUUGAAAAAAAAAGAUGGGUCUAGGUUUAGGUUUUUUGUAUUUUUUCUGAUGUUGUCAAAAUUGUCCCCCCC